RNAcentral lists this ribosomal RNA (445 nucleotides) under uncultured bacterium. RNAcentral describes it as "bacterial SSU rRNA". It matches the Rfam family "Bacterial small subunit ribosomal RNA", at positions 354 to 796 of the family's 1533-position model. The record is from RNAcentral.
GUGAGGAAUAUUGGUCAAUGGGCGAGAGCCUGAACCAGCCAAGUAGCGUGCAGGAUGACGGCCCUAUGGGUUGUAAACUGCUUUUAUAGGGGAAUAAAGUGAGCUACGUGUAGUUUUUUGCAUGUACCCUAUGAAUAAGGACCGGCUAAUUCCGUGCCAGCAGCCGCGGUAAUACGGAAGGUCCGGGCGUUAUCCGGAUUUAUUGGGUUUAAAGGGAGCGUAGGCCGGAGAUUAAGCGUGUUGUGAAAUGUAGAUGCUCAACAUCUGAACUGCAGCGCGAACUGGUUUCCUUGAGUACGCAUAAAGUGGGCGGAAUUCGUGGUGUAGCGGUGAAAUGCUUAGAUAUCACGAAGAACUCCGAUUGCGAAGGCAGCUCACUGGGGCGCAACUGACGCUGAAGCUCGAAAGCGCGGGUAUCGAACAGGAUUAGAAACCCCGGUAGUCC